UAAGAUCCCUGAAAGAUGAUCAGGUUGAUAGGUCUGAGGUGGAAGUGUGGCGACACAUGGAGCUGACAGAUACUAAUCGAUCGAGGACUUAACCAUA
This 97-nucleotide ribosomal RNA is filed under the name Bacillus subtilis. RNAcentral's name for it is "partial 23S ribosomal RNA". It matches the Rfam family "Bacterial large subunit ribosomal RNA", at positions 2828 to 2925 of the family's 2925-position model. The record is from RNAcentral. Lineage: Bacteria; Bacillati; Bacillota; Bacilli; Caryophanales; Bacillaceae.